Molecule: ribosomal RNA, 509 nt
Filed under: uncultured bacterium
Lineage: Bacteria
Description: partial 16S ribosomal RNA
Rfam family: Bacterial small subunit ribosomal RNA
Source: RNAcentral
ACUCAAAGGAAUAGACGGGGGCCUGCACAAGCGGUGGAGUAUGUGGCUCAAUUCGAUGCAACGCGAAGAACCUUACCUGGCCUUGACAUGCAUGUGGUAGAAGCCCGAAAGGGUAACGACCCCGCAAGGGGAGCAUGCACAGGUGCUGCAUGGCUGUCGUCAGCUCGUGUCGUGAGAUGUUGGGUUAAGUCCCGCAACGAGCGCAACCCUUGCGUCCUGUUGCUAUCUCUGCGAGAGCAGAGAGCACUCUGGACGGACUGCCUCGCUUCAACGGGGAGGAAGGUGGGGAUGACGUCAAGUCAGUAUGGCCCUUACGGCCAGGGCUGCACACGUACUACAAUGCCCGGCACAAAGGGAUGCCAAACCGGAAGGUGGAGCAAAUCCCGCAAAAACCGGGCCCAGUUCAGAUUGAGGUCUGCAACUCGACCUCAUGAAGUUGGAAUCGCUAGUAAUGGCGCAUCAGCUACGGCGCCGUGAAUACGUUCCCAGGCCUUGUACACACCGCCCGU